CAUCAUCACAAUUCAGCCAUAACACGGUAGAUAAGCAACGGAUAUUUCUUGAACCGAUUACACAGCUCUCUCAUUCAGUAAUGGCUUCUAAUCUCUCUGCAGCUCCAGAUUUCCGUCUUACAAUACCACAGUCUGAUAAAAGAAGACCCAUUUUCUUCACUGCAACAAUCAGGAAAAGUUCUAUAAAAAAAAGACUCCCCAUUUCCUGCAAUUCGUCCCAAUCUUCUCCAAAAACAUCUCAAAAUCUCAAGGAAUCACCCAACCCCAAAAACCCAUCUUUAUCUGACCAACCAAAGCCUCUCUCUGCCACCACACUCUCCACCACCAAAGACCAAAGAACUCAUCUCUUAUCCAAACCAAAGUCCACAUGGGUCAACCCCACAAAACCCAGAAGGUCUGUGCUUUCACUUCAAAGGCAAAAGCGGUCUCCUUACUCGCUCAAUCCCAAGGUCAAAGAGUUGAGACUCUUUGCACAGAAGCUGAACGACUGUGAUUCUUCUAGUGAGAGUGCUUUUAUAUCUCUUCUUGAGCAAAUCCCUUAUCCACUCACCAGAGAAAAUGCUCUCUUGAUACUUAAUAGCUUGAAACCAU
This 591-nucleotide unclassified non-coding RNA is filed under the name Hevea brasiliensis (rubber tree). Lineage: Eukaryota; Viridiplantae; Streptophyta; Magnoliopsida; Malpighiales; Euphorbiaceae. The record is from RNAcentral.